RNAcentral lists this ribosomal RNA (582 nucleotides) under uncultured bacterium. RNAcentral describes it as "bacterial SSU rRNA". It matches the Rfam family "Bacterial small subunit ribosomal RNA", at positions 102 to 694 of the family's 1533-position model. The record is from RNAcentral.
AAGGGAGAGGAAUAAGUAGAAAUCUACCCUCGGGUCGGGGAUAGCGGCGGGAAACUGCCGGUAAUACCCGAUAACGUCUUUGGACCAAAGGUGUGAUUCCGUCUGAGGAUGAGUCUACUUCCUAUUAGCUAGUUGGCGGGGUAAUGGCCCACCAAGGCGACGAUGGGUAGCAGGUGUGAGAGCAUGACCUGCCUCAUUGGGACUGAGACACUGCCCAGACACCUACGGGUGGCUGCAGUCGAGAAUCUUCGGCAAUGGACGAAAGUCUGACCGAGCGACGCCGCGUGCGGGAUGAAGGCCUUCGGGUUGUAAACCGCUGUCGUAGGGGAACAAAUGUAUGGGGGUACUCCCCUGUAUUUGAGUGAUCCUAGGAGGAAGGAGAGGCUAAGCUCGUGCCAGCAGCCGCGGUAAGACGAGCUCUCCAAACGUUAUUCGGUAUCACUGGGCUUAAAGAGUUCGUAGGCGGUCUGGUAGGUGAGGUGUGAAAUCCCCCGGCUCAACCGGGGAACUGCGCUUCAAACCGCCGGACUUGAGGGAGACAGAGGUGGGCGGAACAGAUGGUGGAGCGGUGAAAUGCGUUGA